UACAGAGGGGGCAAGCGUUGUUCGGAAUUACUGGGCGUAAAGGGCGCGUAGGCGGCCUAUUAAGUCAGACGUGAAAUCCCUCGGCUCAACCGGGGAACUGCGUCUGAUACUGGUGGGCUUGAGUUCGGGAGAGGAAUGUGGAAUUCCAGGUGUAGCGGUGAAAUGCGUAGAUAUCUGGAGGAACACCGGUGGCGAAGGCGGCAUUCUGGACCGACACUGACGCUGAGGCGCGAAAGCCAGGGGAGCAAAC
Molecule: ribosomal RNA, 250 nt
Filed under: uncultured bacterium
Lineage: Bacteria
Description: partial 16S ribosomal RNA
Rfam family: Bacterial small subunit ribosomal RNA
Source: RNAcentral